Long non-coding RNA from Thunnus maccoyii (southern bluefin tuna), 870 nucleotides. RefSeq lists it as uncharacterized. NCBI's taxonomy places the organism in Eukaryota, Metazoa, Chordata, Actinopteri, Scombriformes, Scombridae. The record is from RefSeq and is a predicted model, not a curated record. The transcript has 2 exons.
CUGAGAGGGAAAGCGCGCGGCUCUGUCAAAUGUGACCAGUUUUAAGAAGCUAUUCACCAACAAUUAGAAUCAUAACUUGGACCUAAUUACAAAUAUACAGUUGCAGUAUUUCCAAUGUAAAACUUCUUCACAAUGACGAAUUCUGUUAGCUUGUACAUGUCACUGUAUGCUGUGGAGCAACAAGAAGUACUGAUUAGUCUUAGUUGGGGGGAAAUUUAAGGGAAACAUAAAUAAUGAUAUUUAGAUAUUAGUGUUAUUUAGUGUUAGACCUUGCAUCAAAAACCCUUAACGCUGUUUACACCCACUUUCAGAGUUGUGAAACCUUAUUUUGUCUAUGAAAACUGAGGCAAUUUCACUGAUAUUUCUAGAUCCAGUGGUGUGUGCGCAGAAAUUGUUCUUGUGUCUGGUUGCUUUGGUAUACACUUAUCUGUAGCAUGUACUAGAGGGCAGAAGUUGGAAUAGGUUAUAUCCAGAGUGUGAGGGGUCCUGUGAGGGGUGACUUUCCCUUAUUUUUCCUGACUCUGGAGCUGUAGCGGUCCUAGAUAGUGGGCAAGUUGGCACCAAAGAUCUUUUCUGCGGUUCUUAUUUGCAGUCUGAUCCUGUCCUGUUUGGUGGCUGAACCAAGGCCAAGCUGAGGUGCAGUUGUUGGUGUAUGAGGAGAAGAGUGUCACUUGCUGCUUCCUGUCUGUCAGAAGUUUGUUGAUCCACUGACUGUUGGAGGCAGAAACACUGAGCUGGAGAACCUGAUGAAGCCCCCGCAGCCCUCCAGAACUCUGUAUGUCAACUGGAAAACACAACAAAUUACAUCGCACAUUCAGUGACUUUUUACAUGCAUUAUUAUGUCACAAAUAAAUUUGUAUUGAGAUUUUA